UAUUAACAUAUUUUAAUAGGGCCUAUUAUU
Molecule: non-coding RNA, 30 nt
Filed under: Mus musculus (house mouse)
Lineage: Eukaryota; Metazoa; Chordata; Mammalia; Rodentia; Muridae
Source: RNAcentral